AAACUGUUCAACUUGAAUACAGAAGAGGUAAGUGGAAUUCCAAGUGUAGCGGUGAAAUGCGUAGAUAUUUGGAGGAACACCAGUGGCGAAGGCGACUUACUGGUCUGUAAUUGACGCUGAGGCUCGAAAGCGUGGGUAGCAAACAGGAUUAGAUACCCUGGUAGUCCACGCCGUAAACGAUGAGUGCUAAGUGUUAGGGGGUUUCCGCCCCUUAGUGCUGGAGUUAACGCAUUAAGCACUCCGCCUGGGGAGUACGGCCGCAAGGCUGAAACUCAAAGGAAUUGACGGGGACCCGCACAAGCGGUGGAGCAUGUGGUUUAAUUCGACGCAACGCGAAGAACCUUACCAACUCUUGACAUCUUCUGAUCACCCUAGAGAUAGGGCUUUCCCUUCGGGGACAGAAUGACAGGUGGUGCAUGGUUGUCGUCAGCUCGUGUCGUGAGAUGUUGGGUUAAGUCCCAUAACGAGCGCAACCCUUAUUGUUAGUUGCCAGCAUUCAGUUGGGCACUCUAGCGAGACUGCCGGUGAUAAACCGGAGGAAGGUGGGGAUGACGUCAAAUCAUCAUGCCCCUUAUGAGUUGGGCUACACACGUGCUACAAUGGACGGUACAACGAGUAGCGAUCCCGCAAGGGUUAGCGAAUCUUAAUAAGCCGUUCUCAGUUCGGAUUGUUCUCUGCAACUCGAGAGCAUGAAGCCGGAAUCGCUAGUAAUCGCGGAUCAGAAUGCCGCGGUGAAUACGUUCCCGGGUCUUGUACACACCGCCCGUCACACCACGAGAGUUUGUAACACCCGAAGCCGGUUGGCCAACCUUUAUGGAGGCCGCUGUCGAAGGUGGGAUGGAUGAUUGGGGUGAAGUCGUAACAAGGUAGCCGUA
This 875-nucleotide ribosomal RNA is filed under the name uncultured bacterium. RNAcentral describes it as "bacterial SSU rRNA". It matches the Rfam family "Bacterial small subunit ribosomal RNA", at positions 630 to 1504 of the family's 1533-position model. The record is from RNAcentral.